Molecule: long non-coding RNA, 2341 nt
Filed under: Mastacembelus armatus (zig-zag eel)
Lineage: Eukaryota; Metazoa; Chordata; Actinopteri; Synbranchiformes; Mastacembelidae
Description: lncRNA (ENSMAMG00000026560.1)
Source: RNAcentral
CCCGCAAACCCAAACAACCUGGUGAACACGAAGAACCCAGUGAAUCGGAAGAGCCUGAGGAAUUCGAAUAUCCUGGCGUACCAGAACUUUCCCGUAAACCAAAACAUAAGUACAAACAUCCUGACGAAUCUGAAGAGUUUGAAGAAGAAUAUCCUGGCAAGCCCAAAUAUCCCCAUAAAGCCAAACAUCGUCACAAGCCCAAACAUCCUCGUGAAUCUGAAGAAACUGUGUAUCCUGGCAAACCCAAAUAUCCCCGUAAACCUAAAUAUCACGGUAAACAUCCUGGUGAAUCUGAAGAGUCUGAAGAACUUGAAUAUCCUGGCAAACCCAAAGUUCCCCAUAAACCCAAACAUCCCCGUGAAUCUGAAGAACUUACGUAUCCUGGCAAACCAAAAUAUCCCCAUAAACCCAAACAUCCUGGUGAAUCUGAAGAACGUACGUAUCCUGGCAAACCAAAAUAUCCCCAUAAACCCAAACAUCCUGGUAAGCACAAAUAUCCCAGCGAAUCUGAAGAGUCUGAGGAGCUUGAAGAUCUUGGCUAUCUCAAAUAUUUUGGUUAUCACAAACAUCCUGAAAAACAUAGACAUCCCAGUAAACGCAAACAUCUCCAUAAAUCCAAACGUCCCAGCAAAUCCAAAGAGAUUUCAGAACUUGACGAGACAGAAUAUCCCAAUAAACCACAAUAUUACGGUAAAUAUGAACAUCCCCACAAACACAAAUAUCCCAGCAAAUUAAAACAUCCUAGCAAGCACAAACAUCCUAGCAGACACAGACAUCUCAGGAAAUUUAAAAAUAUCAUAAAACAUCCCAAUGAAUCUGAAUAUCCUGAAUAUCCCAGCAAACUCAAACACAUUGGCAAACACAAACAUCUCAAACACCCUAAAGUGUUUACAGAGUUAGAGUAUGAAUACCAUGGCAAACACAAACAUCCCAAAAAGUCCAAAAUAUUGACAGGGUUUGAAAAGUACAAAACUUAUAUAUAUCAUGGAAAACACAAACAUCCCAAACACCCAAAAAGGUUGACAGGGUUUGAAAAGUACAAAACGUAUAUUUAUCAUGGAAAACACAAACAUCCCAAACACCCAAAAGCGUUGACAGGGUUUGAAAAGUACAAAACGUAUAUUUAUCAUGGAAAACACAAACAUCCCAAACACCCAAAAGCGUUGACAGGGUUUGAAAAGUACGAAGAGUAUGAACACCAUGGCAAACACCAACACCAUGGAGGAACCAAACAUCCCGGUGAAUUUGGGCAUUACAGAAAAGUUAAAUAUCCUGGCAAACCCAAAUAUCAUGGCAAAGCUGGCCGUCCCUCUUGGCAUCUACAUUACCUUGGAUUGUCCGGUGGAACUACACGGCCUCACACACACUUUGGUAUUGAUGAAUGCUGCUGCAGUCCUAAAUAUUGUAACAGAGGUAAAUGCCUAAAUAUAUCUAAGCAUCGUAGAACAAAUCCCAGCAAAGAAGAGAAUGCUGCUCCAAAAGCACCACCUAUUUACUCAACGGCAAUCUGCGAGAGGCAGAGCGGGAUGCUGAAUUGUUCUGCAGGGAAAACAAUCCAGGUGCAAUCAGCCACUUAUGGUCGCCAAAGUAAAGCUUUUUGUUGGACCAGUAAAAUGGAGGGUAAAAAUCACAGCUUGACCUGUGAAAAAGACAUCACAAGCAUUAUAGCACAAAGUUGUAACAAGAAAUCAGAAUGUAAAAUUCAGGCAUCCAGCAAACUGGCUGGAGACCCCUGUGUCGGCACCUAUAAAUACCUGUCUGCUCAUUACCUAUGUGUCUGAUGGAGCCCAGUCAUGUUGCUCCAACAGGAAGAAAAGUUCUUUCUACACAUUUCUCUUUUUUCUGUCUCAACUUCACAUGACAUACUAAUUGAAACUGUCAAUCCAAAUUGAAAAAAAAGACAAAGUUCAGCUAAAAAUGUGACUAAAGCAAAUAAAUCCAGCAAAGUAAAUCUUACUGUUACAGUUGUAGCUUUGAACAUUAACAAAAAGAAAAAAAGACAAAAAACACAUUCCACAUAGCAUCCGUAUGUCAUGUUAAUCGCUCAAUAACGGGCAAAUAAAGAUUUAUUAUUAGCACAUUAGUACAUUAGUGAUUAUUUCUCUUCUUUCCUUUCUAAACCACGGAGAAGCAGUGGAACCAGCAGCAACAAACCAGAAACAAAUAUCUGCAAAUAAAGACAUAAAAUGCUAUUAUUUGUCUUCUUAUUCUUUUUGUUCUAAUGAGUGUUAUCCAUCCAUCCAUCCAUCUUCUAUACCCGCUUUUCCUGGUUCAGGGUCACGGGGAUCUGCUGGAGCCUAUCCCAGCUCUCUCUCGGGUGGAAGGCAGGGGUACACCCUGG